Non-coding RNA from Acanthosepion pharaonis, 83 nucleotides. Lineage: Eukaryota; Metazoa; Mollusca; Cephalopoda; Sepiida; Sepiidae. The record is from the annotation of a GenBank genome assembly.
AUUGCAACACCGCUUCUCGUACGAUCACCGAAGUUAAGCAGCGUCGAGCCUGAUCAGUAUUUAGGUGGGUGAAGCGCUGUAAG